GAUGAAGAACUUAGCGAAAUGCGAUAAGUAAUGUGAAUUGCAGAAUUCAGUGAAUCAUCGAAUCUUUGAACGCACAUUGCGCCCUCUGGUAUUCCGGGGGGCAUGCCUGUUCGAGCGUCAUUACAACCCUCAAGCUUUGCUUGGUAUUGGACAUUGCCAGUUUCUGGCAGGUCUUAAAAUCAGUGGCGGUGCCAUUUGGCUUCAAGCGUAGUAAUUCUUCUCGCUUUGGAGAUCCAGGUGGUUACUUGCCAAUAACCCCCAAUUUUUUCAGGUUGACCUCGGAUCAGGUAGGGAUACCCGCUGAACUUAAGCAUAUCAAUAAGCGGAGGA
RNAcentral lists this unclassified non-coding RNA (330 nucleotides) under soil metagenome. RNAcentral's name for it is "partial contains 5.8S ribosomal RNA, internal transcribed spacer 2, and large subunit ribosomal RNA". The stretch from base 1 to 120 matches the Rfam family "5.8S ribosomal RNA", at positions 35 to 154 of the family's 154-position model. The record is from RNAcentral.